RNAcentral lists this ribosomal RNA (484 nucleotides) under uncultured bacterium. RNAcentral describes it as "partial 16S ribosomal RNA". It matches the Rfam family "Bacterial small subunit ribosomal RNA", at positions 28 to 523 of the family's 1533-position model. The record is from RNAcentral.
GAUGAACGCUGGCGGCGUGCUUAACACAUGCAAGUCGAACGGUGAAGCAGGAGCUUGCUCUUGUGGAUCAGUGGCGAACGGGUGAGUAACACGUGAGUAACCUGCCCUUGACUCUGGGAUAACUGCGGGAAACUGUAGCUACUACCGGAUACGACCCUCGGAGGCAUCUCCUGGGGGUGGAAAGAAUUUCGGUCAAGGAUGGACUCGCGGCCUAUCCGCUAGGUGGUGAGGUAAAGGCUCACCAAGGCGACGAAGGGUAGCCGGCCUGAGAGGGUGACCGGCCACACUGGGACUGAGACACGGCCCAGACUCCUACGGGAGGCAGCAGUGGGGAAUAUUGCACAAUGGGCGCAAGCCUGAUGCAGCAACGCCGCGUGAGGGAUGACGGCCUUCGGGUUGUAAACCUCUUUUAGUAGGGAAGAAGCGAAAGUGACGGUACCUGCAGAAAAAGCACCGGCUAACUACGUGCCAGCCGCCGCAGUAA